Molecule: long non-coding RNA, 1548 nt
Organism: Oncorhynchus tshawytscha (Chinook salmon)
Lineage: Eukaryota; Metazoa; Chordata; Actinopteri; Salmoniformes; Salmonidae
Source: Ensembl
GAAGAGGACAGGACCUGGAAGUGUGAGGAGGACAGGACCAGGAAGUGUGAAGAGGACAGGACCUGGAAGUGUGAGGAGGACAGGACCAAGAAGUGUGAGGAGGACAGGACCAAGAAGUGUGAGGAGGACAGGACCAAGAAGUGUGAGGAGGACAGGACCAAGAAGUGUGAGGAGGACAGUGUGCAGUGUGAGGAGGACAGGACCAAGAAGUGUGAGGAGGACAGGACCAAGAAGUGUGAGGAGGACAGGACCAAGAAGUGUGAGGAGGACAGGACCAAGAGGUGUGAGGAGGACAGGACCAAGAAGUGUGAGGAGGACAGGACCAAGAGGUGUGAGGAGGACAGGACCAGGAAGUGUGAGGAGGACAGGACCAGGAAGUGCAGUGUGAGGAGGAUGUUCAAAGAGGUGUAGAAUAAACUUAAUAAAUAGGUUGGCUUGGUUUAUUCAUCACGUCAUUGUAGCUGCACUUAGAUGACAGACAGAUUGACACACACGCACACACACGCACACACACGCACACACACACACGCAGAGAGAGAGAACAGCACAAGACAGACGUCUUUAAAACAGCUAUUCUUUGUGGUCAGGCGCCAUGCUCAUUACCGGCUGACUAAAUUGCUGACAGGAAGUCAGAGGUCAACAGUCCCCUUUGACCCCAGGGCUGGCAGGGGUGAGGGGGAUUGAGUCCAGCAGACCAGACAAGACCAGCCUGAAGGAAGCAGAAGGGAGAGAAGUGUGACAGGACCAGGACGUGUAGUGUGAGUAGGACAGGACAAAAUGGCACCCUAUUAUAAGGACUAGUGUUCUAUCUGGGAGGCAGAUGGAGACUCUCAUGGUUGUGUUGUAUUGUAUAGUCAAAUCAAAUUUAAACAAAUGUUAUUUGUCACGUGCACCGAAUACAACAGGUGUAGACUUUACAGUGAAAUGCUUACGUACAAGCCAUUAACCAAAAAUGCAGUUUUAAGAAAAAUAAGUGUUAAGAAAUUAUUUAAUAAAAUAAACUGAAGUAAAAAAAUAAAAAAGUACAUAAAUGAAACAUUUAAAUUUAAAAGAAGAAAAUAGAAAAAUAACAAAUAAUUAAAGUGAGACAAUAAAAUAACAGUAGCGAGGCUAUAUACAGGCCCAGAUUAUAUACAGGCCCAGAUUAUAUACAGGCCCAGAUUAUAUACAGGCCCAGAUUAUAUACAGGCCCAGAUUAUAUACAGGCCCUGAUUAUAUACAGGCCCUGAUUAUAUCGAGGCCCAGAUUAUAUACAGGCCCAGAUUAUAUACAGGCCCAGAUUAUAUACAGGCCCAGAUUAUAUACAGGCCCUGAUUAGAUACAGGCCCAGAUUAUAUACAGGCCCAGAUUAUAUCGAAGCCCAGAUUAUAUCGGGGCCCAGAUUAUAUCGAAGCCCAGAUUAUAUCGGGGCCCAGAUAUUAUCGAGGCCCAUGUUAAAUCAAAUCAUUCACCCUCUUUACCAAACUAACAAUGACAAAUCCUUGAUGUGUCACAUUGUGAACCCAUAUCAAACUACAAAAAUCUCUGAAGCUGGAGACUCAUAUCUCC